This 301-nucleotide ribosomal RNA is filed under the name uncultured bacterium. Its description in RNAcentral is "partial 16S ribosomal RNA". It matches the Rfam family "Bacterial small subunit ribosomal RNA", at positions 509 to 807 of the family's 1533-position model. The record is from RNAcentral.
CAGUAGCCGCGGGAAUACGAAGGGUGUAAGCGUUAAUCGGAAUUACUGGGCGUAAAGCGUGCGUAGGCGGUUUGUUAAGUCUGCUGUGAAAUCCCCGGGCUCAACCUGGGAAUGGCAGUGGAUACUGGCAAGCUAGAGUGUGUCAGAGGAUGGUGGAAUUCCCGGUGUAGCGGUGAAAUGCGUAGAGAUGUGGAGGAACACCAGUGGCGAAGGCGGCCAUCUGGGACAACACUGACGCUGAGGCACGAAAGCGUGGGGAGCAAACAGGAUUAGAUACCCCCGUAGUCCCUGUCUCUUAUAC